GCCUGGCUGGCUCAGUUGGUAGAGCAUGAGACUCUUGACCUUGGGAUUGUGAGUUUGAGCCCCAUGUUGGGUU
Ailuropoda melanoleuca (giant panda) is the source of this 73-nucleotide non-coding RNA. NCBI's taxonomy places the organism in Eukaryota, Metazoa, Chordata, Mammalia, Carnivora, Ursidae. The record is from Rfam.